AUAGGUGAAAUUAGUUAAUUAAAAUAAAAGUAAGAUUGAGGCUAAAAAGAUUAAGAGAUAAACUAGGAUUAGAUACCCUAUUAUACUUAAUUUAAAAGUUUAAAGCUAAAAUAUUAAUAGUUAUGUUCUUAAAAUUUAGAGAAUUUGGCGGUGUUUUAGUCUGUUUAGAGGAACCUGUUUCGUAAAUGAUACACCUCAAAAUAUCUUACUUGAGUUUGUAUACCGUCAUUAUUAGAUAAUUUUUAUAGAAAAAAUUAUUACAAUAAGUUUUUUAGUAUAUUAGAUCAAGGUGCAGCUUAUAGGUAAGUGAAAAUGGGUUACAAUAAUAUUUAUUUAUAACGGAUUAAGUUUUAUGAAGGUGGAUUUAAUUGUAUAUAAGUUUAAUAAGCUUGUGUGAUAUUAGCUCUAAAUUAUGUACAUAUUGCCCGUCGCUUUC
RNAcentral lists this ribosomal RNA (436 nucleotides) under Lauridromia dehaani. Its description in RNAcentral is "partial 12S small subunit ribosomal RNA". The record is from RNAcentral. Lineage: Eukaryota; Metazoa; Arthropoda; Malacostraca; Decapoda; Dromiidae.